GACGACGGCGGCGGCGGGAGGGGGCGGGGGCAGGGCCCCGCUGCGAGAGGCGGGCGCGGACGGCUGGGCCCGGUGUCCCUGCGGUGACGUCGCUUGGUUGUAUUCAACUUGACAGAAUGACAGGAAUGGAGACUGAAACUGCAAGAGACAAAGCCAUGGAAGAAGAAAGCACUGAACAGAAAAAGGAGAGAGAAAAAAAGAAGAGGUCGAGGGUUAAACAGGUGCUUGCAGAUAUAGCAAAACAAGUGGAUUUCUGGUUUGGUGAUGUUAAUCUCCAUAAAGACAGAUUUCUCCGAGAACAAAUAGAAAAGUCCAGAGAUGGCUAUGUUGACAUAUCGCUUCUUGUUUCUUUCAAUAAAAUGAAAAAAUUGACUACCGAUGGAAAAUUGAUAGCUCGAGCAGUUAAAAGUUCAUCUGUUGUAGAGUUGGAUUUAGAAGGAACUAGGAUCAGAAGACGCCAGCCACUGGGUGAGCAACCAAAGGAUGUGGAUAGUCGUACAGUCUAUGUGGAGCUGCUUCCCAAAAAUGUCAAUCACAGUUGGAUUGAGCGGGUAUUUGGAAAGUGUGGUAAUGUCGUUUAUGUCAGUAUACCCCGGUAUAAAACAAGUGGUGAUCCAAAGGGAUUUGCUUUUGUUGAAUUUGAAACUAAAGAGCAAGCAGAGAAAGCUAUUGAGUUUUUGAAUAAUCCACCAGAAGAAGCACCACGAAAACCGGGGAUUUUCCCCAAAACAGUAAAGAAUAAGCCUGUUCCUGCCCUGAAUACAAGUAACAGCAGUGUAGUAGAAGAGAAGAAAAAGAAGAAAAAAAAGAAAUCCAAAGUCAAGAAAGAGAGCAGCGCACAGGCAGCUGUAGAGACAAAGGAAUCAAACACUAAUACUUCAACAGAGCAAGUACCCAAGUCUAAAAGACAUAGGACUUCAUCAGAGUGUUCAGAAAUGGAAGGAACUGAGACUCACAGGCAGCCCUCAAAGAGAGAGAAAAGAAAAUGGGACAGAACAGAAAGCUCAGAGGUACCUUGGGAAAGCAGGCCAGGGAAGAGAAAAAGAACCAGCUCUGGAGAUGGUGAGACAUCAACUCCAAAAGUAAAGACGACUGUUCAGAAGGAUGAAGUAGGUCCUGUAAAGGAAGAAUCAGAAGCCCCGAAAGAUUCCAACGACGUUUCUGCAGAAGAUGACAAAGAUAAAAAGGACACAUCCCUUUCAAAAUCUAAAAGGAAACACAAGAAAAAACACAAAGAAAGACACAAAAUGGGUGAAGAAGUCAUUCCGCUCAGAGUACUCUCCAAGACCGAGUGGAUGGAUUUGAAGCAAGAAUAUUUGGCCCUUCAAAAAGCCAGUAUGGCCUCCUUAAAGAAAACAAUGUCUCAAAUCAAACCUGAGCCUGUGGGAGAGAUGGAAACAGAAUCUUGUGCACAGAAAAAGUCUCAGUCUCAAAAUAACAAAUCCAGCAGUGGAGAUUCUGCCCCUCCAGCCAAGGCUAACACAAUGGGGCCUCAGUUCGUCAGCGGAGUAAUUGUGAAGAUCGUUAGCGCUGAGCCCCUGCCGGGCAGGAAGCAGAUCAAGGAUGCUUUGGCAGUGCUGGCUGACGUUGCUUAUGUUGACAUGCUGGAGGGAGACACAGAAUGUCAUGUCCGUUUCAACACUCCUGAAGAUGCCCAGAUUGUCAUGAGAUCAUACAAAGAAAUACAGAUCAAAAACAACUGGAAAUUCGAAGUUCUUACUGGUGAUCAUGAACAACGUUACUGGCAGAAGAUUUUAGUGGACAGACAAGCUAAACUUAACCAGCCUCGAGAAAAGAAACGGGGUACUGAGAAGGAGGGUUUUACAGCCACAAAAUAACGUCUGGCUGUCCUGGUCCUGUUGCCAAAUGCAAGGCUUGUCUUUAUGGAGACAAUCAGAGGAAGUUGUCCACGACUAAAGGCAUGAAGUUAAUUUUUAAUCGCUAAAGCUGAAAGAAUGAGACUUGAAAAGACGCAGCAAACAAGUAAACAUAUUCGCUUCACUGAAGAUAACUAACCAAGACGGAUUGUGAUAUUGGAAGUGAACUAGUUUUUUUUUAAAAAAAAAACCACAAAACACAACCGAAAAUAAAUCUCACAAACACCACGGCUUAUAGCAACUAAAUAAUUUCUAAGAAACCGUCAAAACCUGGUCCAUGUGAUUCAUAAUUCUGCAGGCUGCAAGUAUAAAGACUGUUGUGAAUCCCAUUUUUAAGUAGGCUGAAUGUUUACUGCUUCUGAGCCUUUACAUAAAGCUUUCUGGAAAAAAUGUA
RNA transcript from Falco peregrinus (peregrine falcon), 2271 nucleotides. It is a transcript of the gene named La ribonucleoprotein 7, transcriptional regulator, with no coding region annotated. The record is from RefSeq and is a predicted model, not a curated record. Lineage: Eukaryota; Metazoa; Chordata; Aves; Falconiformes; Falconidae. The transcript is spliced from 14 exons.